Mycena galopus ATCC 62051 is the source of this 90-nucleotide non-coding RNA. Lineage: Eukaryota; Fungi; Basidiomycota; Agaricomycetes; Agaricales; Mycenaceae. The record is from the annotation of a GenBank genome assembly.
GGCUUGAUAGCGGAUGGUCCGCGCCUGUUUGCUGUGCCGAUCGAAGACAUUACACAUGCAGGAAUUUCGGUUCGAUUCCGGGUCAAGUCG